RNAcentral lists this ribosomal RNA (618 nucleotides) under Triticum aestivum (bread wheat). RNAcentral describes it as "partial small subunit ribosomal RNA". The record is from RNAcentral. Lineage: Eukaryota; Viridiplantae; Streptophyta; Magnoliopsida; Poales; Poaceae.
AUGACAAGCAAGUCCAUCAUCGUCAUCGAGGACAUCGAUUGCUCCAUUGACCUCACUGGUAAGCGCCGCAAGGGCAAGAAGGCCUCAAGUAACAAGGACUCUGACAAUGAAUAUGAAGCGGACCCGACGGAGCCACAGAAGGACGAUGAAAGCAAGGUGACGCUCUCAGGCCUACUCAACUUCAUCGACGGGCUAUGGUCAGCAAGCGGCGGUGAGCAGAUCAUCAUCUUCACCACCAACCACAAGGAGAAGCUGGACCCGGCGCUAAUCCGGCGGGGUAGGAUGGACAAGCACAUCGAGAUGUCCUACUGCCGCUUCGAGGGCUUCAAGGUUCUCGCCAAGAACUACCUAGACAUCGUCGAGCAUGUGUUGUUCGGCGAGAUCCAGCAGCUUCUCGAAGAGACCGACAUGUCACCGGCCGAUGUGGCAGAGAACCUGAUGCCCAUGUCAAAGAAGAAAAAGAAGGACCCCAACAUGAGCUUGGCAAGCCUUAUCGCCGCGCUCAAACAGGCGAAGAAAGAUGCUGCCACGGCUGCGGCAGCGGCAAAGGCCAAGGAGGAAGAGGAGGCAGAAGCAAAGAAAUCCAAGGAGAAAGAGGAACCCAAGGAAGACAAAUGA